This 467-nucleotide ribosomal RNA is filed under the name uncultured bacterium. Its description in RNAcentral is "partial 16S ribosomal RNA". It matches the Rfam family "Bacterial small subunit ribosomal RNA", at positions 28 to 506 of the family's 1533-position model. The record is from RNAcentral.
GACGAACGCUGGCGGCGUGCUUAACACAUGCAAGUCGAACGGAAAGGCCCUGCUUUUGUGGGGUGCUCGAGUGGCGAACGGGUGAGUAACACGUGAGUAACCUGCCCUUGACUUUGGGAUAACUUCAGGAAACUGGGGCUAAUACCGGAUAGGAGCUCCUGCUGCAUGGUGGGGGUUGGAUAGUUUCGGCGGUUGGGGAUGGACUCGCGGCUUAUCAGCUUGUUGGUGGGGUAGUGGCUUACCAAGGCUUUGACGGGUAGCCGGCCUGAGAGGGUGACCGGCCACAAGGGGAAUGAGAUACGGCCCAGACUGCUACGGGAGGCAGCAGUGGGGAAUAUUGCACAAUGGGCGGAAGCCUGAUGCAGCAACGCCGCGUGCGGGAUGACGGCCUUCGGGGUGUAAAACGCUUUCGCCUGUGACGAAGCGUGAGUGACGGUAAUGGGUAAAGAAGCACCGGCUAACUACGU